AUUGAACGCUGGCGGCAUGCUUUACACAUGCAAGUCGAACGGCAGCGCGGGCUUCGGCCUGGCGGCGAGUGGCGAACGGGUGAGUAAUGCAUCCGAACGUGCCCAGUAUUGGGGGAUAGCCCGGCGAAAGCCGGAUUAAUACCGCAUACGACCUGAGGGUGAAAGCGGUGGACCGAAAGGCCUCGCGCUAUUUGCGCGGCCGAUGUCGGAUUAGCUAGUUUGUUGGGUAAAGGCUUAGCAAGGCGACGAUCCGUAGCUGGUCUGAGAGGACGACCAGCCACACUGGGACUGAGACACGGCCCAGACUCCUACGGGAGGCAGCAGUGGGGAAUUUUGGACAAUGGGGGCAACCCUGAUCCAGCCAUGCCGCGUGCGGGAAGAAGGCCUUCGGGUUGUAAACCGCUUUUGUUCGGGAAGAAAUGCUCUGGGCUAAUACCCCGGGGGGAUGACGGUACCGGAAGAAUAAGCAACGGCUAACUACGUG
This 484-nucleotide ribosomal RNA is filed under the name uncultured bacterium. RNAcentral's name for it is "partial 16S ribosomal RNA". It matches the Rfam family "Bacterial small subunit ribosomal RNA", at positions 29 to 507 of the family's 1533-position model. The record is from RNAcentral.